GGGUUGUGAGGUUAAGCGACUAAGCGUACACGGUGGAUGCCCUGGCAGUCAGAGGCGAUGAAGGACGUGCUAAUCUGCGAAAAGCGUCGGUAAGGUGAUAUGAACCGUUAUAACCGGCGAUGUCCGAAUGGGGAAACCCAGUGUGAUUCGUCACACUAUCGUUAACUGAAUACAUAGGUUAACGAGGCGAACCGGGGGAACUGAAACAUCUAAGUACCCCGAGGAAAAGAAAUCAACCGAGAUUCCCCCAGUAGCGGCGAGCGAACGGGGAGCAGCCCAGAGUCUGAAUCAGCUUGUGUGUUAGUGGAACGGUCUGGAAAGUCCGACGGUACAGGGUGAUAGUCCCGUACACCAAAAUGCACAGGCUGUGAACUCGAAGAGUAGGGCGGGACACGUGGUAUCCUGUCUGAAUAUGGGGGGACCAUCCUCCAAGGCUAAAUACUCCUGACUGACCGAUAGUGAACCAGUACCGUGAGGGAAAGGCGAAAAGAACCCCGGCGAGGGGAGUGAAAAAGAACCUGAAACCGUGUACGUACAAGCAGUGGGAGCACCUUCGGGUGUGACUGCGUACCUUUUGUAUAAUGGGUCAGCGACUUAUAUUCUGUAGCAAGGUUAACCGUAUAGGGGAGCCGCAGGGAAACCGAGUCUUAACUGGGCGUUAAGUUGCAGGGUAUAGACCCGAAACCCGGUGAUCUAGCCAUGGGCAGGUUGAAGGUUGGGUAACACUAACUGGAGGACCGAACCGACUAAUGUUGAAAAAUUAGCGGAUGACUUGUGGCUGGGGGUGAAAGGCCAAUCAAACCGGGAGAUAGCUGGUUCUCCCCGAAAGCUAUUUAGGUAGCGCCUCGUGAACUCAUCUUCGGGGGUAGAGCACUGUUUCGGCUAGGGGGUCAUCCCGACUUACCAACCCGAUGCAAACUACGAAUACCGAAGAAUGUUAUCACGGGAGACACACGGCGGGUGCUAACGUCCGUCGUGAAGAGGGAAACAACCCAGACCGCCAGCUAAGGUCCCAAAGUCAUGGUUAAGUGGGAAACGAUGUGGGAAGGCACAGACAGCCAGGAUGUUGGCUUAGAAGCAGCCAUCAUUUAAAGAAAGCGUAAUAGCUCACUGGUCGAGUCGGCCUGCGCGGAAGAUGUAACGGGGCUAAACCAUGCACCGAAGCUGCGGCAGCGACACUAUGUGUUGUUGGGUAGGGGAGCGUUCUGUAAGCCUGCGAAGGUGACCUGUGAGGGUUGCUGGAGGUAUCAGAAGUGCGAAUGCUGACAUAAGUAACGAUAAAGCGGGUGAAAAGCCCGCUCGCCGGAAGACCAAGGGUUCCUGUCCAACGUUAAUCGGGGCAGGGUGAGUCGACCCCUAAGGCGAGGCCGAAAGGCGUAGUCGAUGGGAAACAGGUUAAUAUUCCUGUACUUGGUGUUACUGCGAAGGGGGGACGGAGAAGGCUAUGUUAGCCGGGCGACGGUUGUCCCGGUUUAAGCAUGUAGGCUGGUUAUCCAGGCAAAUCCGGAUAAUCAAGGCUGAGGUGUGAUGACGAGGCACUACGGUGCUGAAGUAACAAAUGCCCUGCUUCCAGGAAAAGCCUCUAAGCAUCAGGUAACAUCAAAUCGUACCCCAAACCGACACAGGUGGUCAGGUAGAGAAUACCAAGGCGCUUGAGAGAACUCGGGUGAAGGAACUAGGCAAAAUGGUGCCGUAACUUCGGGAGAAGGCACGCUGGUGUGUAGGUGAAGCCCCUGCGGGUGGAGCUGAGACCAGUCGAAGAUACCAGCUGGCUGCAACUGUUUAUUAAAAACACAGCACUGUGCAAACACGAAAGUGGACGUAUACGGUGUGACGCCUGCCCGGUGCCGGAAGGUUAAUUGAUGGGGUUAUCCGUAAGGAGAAGCUCUUGAUCGAAGCCCCGGUAAACGGCGGCCGUAACUAUAACGGUCCUAAGGUAGCGAAAUUCCUUGUCGGGUAAGUUCCGACCUGCACGAAUGGCGUAAUGAUGGCCAGGCUGUCUCCACCCGAGACUCAGUGAAAUUGAACUCGCUGUGAAGAUGCAGUGUACCCGCGGCAAGACGGAAAGACCCCGUGAACCUUUACUAUAGCUUGACACUGAACAUUGAGCCUUGAUGUGUAGGAUAGGUGGGAGGCUUUGAAGCGUGGACGCCAGUCUGCGUGGAGCCAACCUUGAAAUACCACCCUUUAAUGUUUGAUGUUCUAACGUUGGCCCCUUACCGGGGUUGCGGACAGUGUCUGGUGGGUAGUUUGACUGGGGCGGUCUCCUCCCAAAGCGUAACGGAGGAGCACGAAGGUUAGCUAAUCCUGGUCGGACAUCAGGAGGUUAGUGCAAUGGCAUAAGCUAGCUUGACUGCGAGCGUGACGGCGCGAGCAGGUGCGAAAGCAGGUCAUAGUGAUCCGGUGGUUCUGAAUGGAAGGGCCAUCGCUCAACGGAUAAAAGGUACUCCGGGGAUAACAGGCUGAUACCGCCCAAGAGUUCAUAUCGACGGCGGUGUUUGGCACCUCGAUGUCGGCUCAUCACAUCCUGGGGCUGAAGUAGGUCCCAAGGGUAUGGCUGUUCGCCAUUUAAAGUGGUACGCGAGCUGGGUUUAGAACGUCGUGAGACAGUUCGGUCCCUAUCUGCCGUGGGCGCUGGAGAAUUGAGGGGGCUGCUCCUAGUACGAGAGGACCGGAGUGGACGCAUCACUGGUGUUCGGGUUGUCAUGCCAAUGGCACUGCCCGGUAGCUAAAUGCGGAAGAGAUAAGUGCUGAAAGCAUCUAAGCACGAAACUUGCCCCGAGAUGAGUUCUCCCUGAGACUUUAAGUCUCCUGAAGGAACGUUGAAGACGACGACGUUGAUAGGCCGGGUGUGUAAGCGCAGCGAUGCGUUGAGCUAACCGGUACUAAUGAACCGUGAGGCUUAACCUUACAACGCCGAAG
RNAcentral lists this ribosomal RNA (2922 nucleotides) under Klebsiella pneumoniae. RNAcentral describes it as "bacterial LSU rRNA". It matches the Rfam family "Bacterial large subunit ribosomal RNA". The record is from RNAcentral. Lineage: Bacteria; Pseudomonadati; Pseudomonadota; Gammaproteobacteria; Enterobacterales; Enterobacteriaceae.